RNAcentral lists this ribosomal RNA (467 nucleotides) under uncultured bacterium. Its description in RNAcentral is "partial 16S ribosomal RNA". It matches the Rfam family "Bacterial small subunit ribosomal RNA", at positions 29 to 507 of the family's 1533-position model. The record is from RNAcentral.
ACGAACGCUGGCGGCGUGCUUCACACAUGCAAGUCGAACGGAAAGGCCCUGCUUUUGUGGGGUGCUCGAGUGGCGAACGGGUGAGUAACACGUGAGUAACCUGCCCUUGACUUUGGGAUAACUUCAGGAAACUGGGGCUAAUACCGGAUAGGAGCUCCUGCUGCAUGGUGGGGGUUGGAAAGUUUCGGCGGUUGGGGAUGGACUCGCGGCUUAUCAGCUUGUUGGUGGGGUAGUGGCUUACCAAGGCUUUGACGGGUAGCCGGCCUGAGAGGGUGACCGGUCACAUUGGGACUGAGAUACGGCCCAGACUCCUACGGGAGGCAGCAGUGGGGAAUAUUGCACAAUGGGCGGAAGCCUGAUGCAGCAACGCCGCGUGCGGGAUGACGGCCUUCGGGUUGUAAACCGCUUUCGCCUGUGACGAAGCGUGAGUGACGGUAAUGGGUAAAGAAGCACCGGCUAACUACGUG